Molecule: ribosomal RNA, 495 nt
Filed under: uncultured bacterium
Lineage: Bacteria
Description: partial 16S ribosomal RNA
Rfam family: Bacterial small subunit ribosomal RNA
Source: RNAcentral
GACGAACGCUGGCGGCGUGCCUAAUACAUGCAAGUAGAACGCUGAAGGAGGAGCUUGCUUCUCUGGAUGAGUUGCGAACGGGUGAGUAACGCGUAGGUAACCUGCCUGGUAGCGGGGGAUAACUAUUGGAAACGAUAGCUAAUACCGCAUAAUAGCAGUUAUUGCAUGAUAACUGUUUGAAAGGUGCAAUUGCACCACUACCAGAUGGACCUGCGUUGUAUUAGCUAGUUGGUGGGGUAACGGCUCACCAAGGCGACGAUACAUAGCCGACCUGAGAGGGUGAUCGGCCACACUGGGACUGAGACACGGCCCAGACUCCUACGGGAGGCAGCAGUAGGGAAUCUUCGGCAAUGGACGGAAGUCUGACCGAGCAACGCCGCGUGAGUGAAGAAGGUUGUCGGAUCGUAAAGCUCUGUUGUAAGAGAAGAACGAGUGUGAGAGUGGAAAGUUCACACUGUGACGGUAUCUUACCAGAAAGGGACGGCUAACUACGUG